Molecule: ribosomal RNA, 459 nt
Filed under: uncultured bacterium
Lineage: Bacteria
Description: partial 16S ribosomal RNA
Rfam family: Bacterial small subunit ribosomal RNA
Source: RNAcentral
CCUACGGGAGACUGCAGUGAGGACUAUUGGUCAAUGGCCGGAAGGCUGAACCAGCCAAGCCGCGUGAAGGACGACUGUGCUACGCAUUGUAAACUUCUUUUGUCAAGGGACACAACCCGGCUCGAGAGCCUGAUCGAGGGUACUUGAAGAAAAAGCAUCGGCUAACUCCGUGCCAGCAGCCGCGGUCAUACGGAGGAUGCGAGCGUUAUCCGGAUUUAUUGGGUUUAAAGGGUGCGUAGGCGGACUGUUACGUGAGCGGUAAAAGCCCGGGGCUCAACCCCGGCGAGCCGUUGAAACUGGGUGUCUUGAGAGGGCGGGAGGUAUGCGGAAUGCGAGGGGUAGCGGUGAAAUGCUUAGAUAUUGCGCAGAACUCCGAUUGCGAAGGCAGCAUACCGGCGGCGAUCUGACGCUGAGGCACGAAAGCGUGGGUAUCGAACAGGAUUAGAUACCCCAGUAGUC